GCUGGAGUGGGCGGAGCUGCGAGGGGGGUUAUAAGCCCGCGGUGGCCAAUCGGUGCUCGUGCCGAGCCGAGUGGGCGGGGCGAGCCGGAGUCGGAUUUGCAAAAGGCUCAUUACCGCUGGUUUCCAACGAAGGCAAAAUUCUGCCUGUUUACAAUUGAUAUACGUGUGUAUAUUUGAAAAGUAAGCGAAAUGUACAAGAGAAGCCAAACAGAGGACGCCCACGGGAGCAAAAGAAGUAAACACAUAAGAGGAAAAGAAGAAGACGUUUCAAACUUCAAAGCCUGUGUUGCAACUAAUAUCAAGCGUAGUUUAAACAUGACAGCAACUUAAACAUUGCAACGUACCGUAUCACAAAUCUUUAGAAGAGGAGGCCAGCGUAGCCUAGCGGUUCCUUCACAUUCCUGUCCGAGUCACUGUUAAAAUGGCUUUUCCCCUCCCGCAUGGAGGAAAAAUAGCCCGGAGCUGAGAGUUAAAUAGAACCUCCAUGUCUAUGCGCAGUCUACCUGCGAUACUCUGCCUGUCAGUUUUUGGCUACCUGCUGCUGGAAACAGAGUGCUGGCUGGGAAGGACCUGCCAGUCAAGCCCUUACAUCAAGGUUGGAACAAAAGUUUUGAAAACCACACAUUGCAUUUGUUUCUCUCCCUCUUCUUCCAAGCCCUUGAGAUGUUUUGGGAUUCCGACAAGGUUUCUUUUUUUUAAAAAAAAUGCUUUUUAUUGAUUUUCACAAACAUAAAUAAAAUUUAAACUUUCACAUUCAA
Long non-coding RNA from Podarcis raffonei (Aeolian wall lizard), 758 nucleotides. RefSeq lists it as uncharacterized. The transcript has 2 exons. The record is from RefSeq and is a predicted model, not a curated record. Lineage: Eukaryota; Metazoa; Chordata; Lepidosauria; Squamata; Lacertidae.